CAUUUUUACAUUAAAUACGUAAUUUUUUACCGCAGAUGUAGGUUUUUAAAGGUCCGGUCUAAUAAUCUGCCUGCGCUCCUCCUACUUAUUCUAAAAUGUUAGCGUGAUUGACAAAGACGAUACUAUAUCGCAUUUCUUUGAUCGAUUCGUUUUUGUGCGUCAGUCCAUUGGUGUGCUUGCAGUGCGACCAAUAGACCAUUCCAGAAUGACGUCACUGACAGGUCGGCAAAAUUUGCUGGGAGGCACACAAACCAAUUAAUUUUCACGUUGUCCAUAUGUAAACACAAUAAUCCAAGGUUUAAACGAACUUAAAACAGUGAAAAAUGCCUCAUUUUUAUUGUGUUAUUAAGUGUUUAAUGCGUGAUAAUGUCUAAUUUUUCCCAAAUCAUGCUGCUUUGACCAACAGAGGAAAUAAUUUAAAUACAUUAUCUAAUGUUCGAAGAGAAGUGUGGUUAAAAGCUUUGAAAUGAAAGGCCCCUGUAUGAAAGUGAGAUUAAAAAGAAACGAAUUUGUUCCAAAGACUUUAUAACUGAUAAGUCUAAUUCAGCCAAAAUUUGGGAUAUUCUUCCUGUCUCCAACUACUUCCUGUCUUCAACCCUACAAGUCAUCUUCUAGAUUUGGCAGAUUAAGAAAAAGAUUUAAAAAUGAAUCAGAGUUAAAGAUGUUGCUAUAAAAGAUGAAAAUCGACUAGUGAAUUUUCAUAAUCCUCCAAUCGUUAAUCAACUUUAUUCAAUUUAAAUCGUCUGAGAUAGAAGACG
This is a long non-coding RNA of Sitophilus oryzae (rice weevil), 758 nucleotides long. RefSeq lists it as uncharacterized. The transcript has 3 exons. The record is from RefSeq and is a predicted model, not a curated record. NCBI's taxonomy places the organism in Eukaryota, Metazoa, Arthropoda, Insecta, Coleoptera, Curculionidae.